This 494-nucleotide long non-coding RNA is filed under the name Homo sapiens (human). RNAcentral's name for it is "long non-coding RNA NONHSAT150250.1". Lineage: Eukaryota; Metazoa; Chordata; Mammalia; Primates; Hominidae. The record is from RNAcentral.
CAAGAGCUUAAGUCUAUUUCCACUGCCCUUUAAGCUGGCCCUGUGAUGAUCUCCGUACAACAGGAUGCAGCAGAAGUGUUGUGUUAGUUCUAACUUUAGACUUAAGAAGCCUUUCAGCUUCCACUUUCAUGCUGGGAAUCCUGAUGAAGAAAGAAAAUUCAUGUGGGGAGAGGUCUCAGCUGCCUUCAUCAUCUUAAUUGUCUUUAUUGAGGUCCACAUGAGGCCCACACGUAUAAUUGGACCCACCUGAGGAAAGGAAGAAUAUGAAGUCAAGGAAGACCAUCCACAGAAAAGAUGCUUGCCAAACUCCCAGGUUCCUGGCAGAAUGAAUAAUGUGAAUAAAAUGCAUGUUUAGUCCAACAGUCCUUCUUAAGUGGUAUAUAAAUAAAUAGUAUACAAUAAUAGAUUUUGUAUGGUGCAAUUGUUUUUAUUCAGAAAUGUAGAUACAUAGAAAUACAGUAUCUUAAAAACAUAGGAAGUUCCAGGGCUGCCCA